This 72-nucleotide transfer RNA is filed under the name Bos taurus (domestic cattle). It matches the Rfam family "tRNA". From Rfam's summary of the family: Transfer RNA (tRNA) molecules are approximately 80 nucleotides in length. RNAcentral also lists the same sequence under 5 other names. The record is from Rfam by way of RNAcentral. Lineage: Eukaryota; Metazoa; Chordata; Mammalia; Artiodactyla; Bovidae.
UCACUGGCAGUCCAGUGGUCAGGAUUCUGUGCUUUCACUGCUGGGGCUCAGGUUCAAUCCCUGGUCAGGGAA